This is an RNA transcript of Vespula vulgaris, 5252 nucleotides long. RefSeq lists it as uncharacterized. Lineage: Eukaryota; Metazoa; Arthropoda; Insecta; Hymenoptera; Vespidae. The record is from RefSeq and is a predicted model, not a curated record. The transcript has 17 exons.
CGCGCAUUUUGUUAUGCGCUUCCAAACGUUGCUUUGUAACACGUAUCGAGCAUCAAAAUGCAAGAACGAUUCUUAGUGCGUUAUAUUAAAAUCGAUAACUGUUUCGCCUAUGUCUCGGAUGUCUGGCUACGUAAGCAAGGAACGAAGAAUAACGUAAUUGCGCUGUUACACAAAGAUGCGACUUAUUUUUUAUCAUGUAGUCCGAAACAAAUUACCGACGGAACAUUAUGCCUUGCUAGGCCUUUUGCGAAAACUUUGAACAUAGAGGACGGUGAUGAGGUAUUUGUACGUUUCGUUAAAGAUGCGCCAUCUUUAACAAGUAUAACGGUCAUUCCGGAAACAAAUGAAGAUCGGGAGAUAUUGGAACUUCAAGUCGAUAGAAUUCAAUCGACUUUGUUAAAUAAAAUUCAAAUAGUAGCAAAAGAUCAGCCUAUAGUAAUUUGGGUUUCGAAAUUUUCAACUAUAGUUCUAAUUACAGAAAUGCUCGAACCAAAUUUUCCUUGUGGAAAAUUGGAACAAUUUACGGAACUUCACGUGACCAAUACGAUUCAGAAUACUGUAAAAGAACAAAUAGAAUCUAAUGAAUUCACUAAUGUCGGUGGAUUCAAUUUUCGUGAUACGUUAAAAAAAAUUAUACCUACUUUUUCGAAAAGUUGCAAUAAUAAUGGAGUUGACAAAAAUUAUGCAUUGCUGCAAAAUUAUCGAAAACGACGAAAUCAAUCUGUCGUCUAUCGAGUUCACUUCCUUCCAGAAAUUAGCUCGUUUGAUGGGUCUAAUCCUUUUGAUAUUAUUUUAAAAUCUCCUUAUCACAUUUUUGUACCGCGUCGUCACGUACCAAAAGACGUGCAAUAUACGAAUGGUGGUAUAAUUUGUAAAAUGAAAAAAGUAUCGGAAGAACAAGUAAACGUCAACACACAAAGUACAAAUUUUUUGAAAAAUAUAGAAUCGCCAAUUCCGAGUUUAUCUUUCGAAUUAACUGUGAAACUUUUCGUAUUGGAGGACAUAUUGGAUCGAUGUUCAGAUAGUAUAGAUAAAAUUCAUUUCAAGCUCGAUUUUGUUCACAGUAAUAUUUAUAUUUCUGAGAGCGUAAAAAUUGGAUUGCGUUUAAGAAUGGGUGGAAAAGUCGUGUUAACAGCGAUCGACGUUGAGAAAAAUUUGAUUCCUUUGACAAUAGAAAUUUUUCCUACGAUUCAAACGACCUCCUUGCAAAGUAUCAAAGAUUUUCUUGCGAGCUAUUCUAUUCACGAGAAAAUCUUAUUAAAUUCAUGUGCUCCUAUUAUGCUCGAUAACGGUAAUCGAUGUAUCGUUAAAUUCUUACCAGAGAAAUGUACUUAUUCUUUUCUCGACGAAACAUUAUUAAAAACUAUUACGAUUCAUCUUAAAUCGAAAUUAGAUGUAGAUGAUUUAUUAACGUUGGAACAUGAUAUAGAGGAUGCCUUUUACAAGAAAAUUUCUACGAGAUAUUUAGAAAAUAUUCUUUCGGAGUGCCAAAUUACCCUUGAUCUCAGUUUACGAUUAAAUGCACCAACGAAUCUCGAGUAUGAUAGAGAAAAUAUUUUAAUAUGCGGUGAGAUCGGUUCAGGAAAGUCAACGUUAUGUAAAAUAUUGAUAAAAAGAUUGCAAAAAUCGCCAUAUUUUGUAUAUACUCAUGUGAUCGAUUGCAUAUCGUUGAAGGGAAAAAAAGUAGAAAUGUUACAAAAGAUAGUAUGUGCCGCGAUGUCUCAAUGUAUUUAUCAUCAGCCAUCUAUAUUAUUUUUGGAAGAUAUCGAUAGUAUUACUAUGGUAUCAUCAAAUAACGAAGAAAAUACUCCUGACUCGGUUAACGCAGCUAGAAUUACUGAUAUGAUCAUCAACACCGUAACGCAAUGUCAAGAAUCACAUUACGUGUCGAUCGUAGCAACAUGCGUUGGCAUAAAUAAAAUUGGUAAAAAAAUGAGACCAUCCAGAGGAUUAAAUUUUUUCAGAACGGUUCUAUCAAUACCGAACCUCGAAAAGGCGGAUAGAAUCGAUAUUUUGCAAUUAAUGCUCGAGGACAAGUUGUACGUGCCUGGCAACGUGAAUUGGGAUUACUAUGGUAACAAGACGGAGGGAUGGAUGGUACAAGAUCUCGUUGAUGUGGCGGAUAAGGCGACGUUUGCCGCUUGGAAACGUUGUGCAAAAGAAGAUAUCAAACCACCGAUCGUUAUCACAGAGGACGAUAUUUCUACCGUGAUGAAUAAUUAUAAACCAUUGUCUCUGCAAGGUGUCCAAUUAUAUAAAGGAUCUGAUCAGACAUGGUCAGAUAUCGGAGGAUUAGUUAAAGUAAAAAAAUCCUUGACAGAAAUUUUGCAUUGGCCAUUAAAGUAUCCUGAAAUAUUUAAAAAUGCUCCGAUCAAGCUUCAAAGUGGAGUUUUGUUGUAUGGUAUGCCAGGUACAGGGAAGACUCUGUUAGGUAAAGCGAUAGCUAGUGAAUGUGGUGUGAAUUUAAUUAGUGUGAAGGGUCCUGAAUUAUUAUCCAAGUACAUUGGUGUGAGUGAAGAAUCAGUAAGAAACAUUUUUGAAAGGGCUCAUCGCGCAAAACCAUGUGUUCUUUUCUUCGACGAAUUCGACAGUCUUGCUCCAAGACGUGGACAUGAUAGUACAGGUGUAACGGAUAGAGUGGUGAACCAAUUAUUGACCCAGCUUGAUGGUAUAGAAGAUAGAGAAGGCGUUGCUGUAGUGGCUGCAACGUCUAGACCAGAUUUAUUAGAUCCAGCUCUUUUAAGACCCGGUCGUUUAGAUAAAUCUUUAUAUUGUCCAUUACCAAAUGAGUUGGAGAGAGAAGAGAUAUUGCAUGUUCUGUGUAAAUCCCAGAAGAUAAACGUAAUGGAAUUAGAUUUGAGAGAAAUCGCAUGCGCUUCUCUCGGAUUAACCGGUGCAGAUUUGAAUGCGAUAAUUACCCAAGCUAAAUUAGCUGCCUUUGAAGAUGCUGUGGAAAUCAUACCGGAAGAGAAUCUUCGACCUACGGAUAUCAAAGUAACUCAAAAACAUUUAGUCGAGUCUGUAAAAUCAAUUCAACCGUCUCUGUCUUCCACGGAAAUGGAGAAAUAUACAAGAAUUUAUACGAGGUUCUCGAAGGGCGACACUUUCGUCGAGGAUAUGUUGAAGAAUCAAAAGGCAACGUUAGCGUGAUACGAGCUAGCUCAUUUAUAUUUUAUAAUCAUGAAGAACAUGUAUAAAGAAAGAGAAAAAAAGGAGUCUCCGUGGAGUUCUUCGACUCCUUCGCAGGAGGAGUUCGGUUACGAUAGUAAGGAAGCGUAAAAGAAGUUUGGUUGGUUCCUUAGCUUCGUCGGAAGUCGUAGUUCGGCUUUUCGUGUCGAAUGUUCUUCUAGACGUUUGGAAAGGUGGGGACAGCCGUGUCAUCCUUGGGCCAUUGUCCAAGGCGAUUUCCUUUGGCACGUAGGAUGCUUGGGAGACGAUCGUAAAAGGUUCUCUGCUGGAUAGUAAAAGACGGCCACCAGUUGGAACACCAGGUUCAAACUAUCCACUGAUCGCGCCCCCUACGUUCUUUCUCUCUUUUCUUUCUUUUACUUUUUCUUCUUUCUUUUUUUUUCUUUUCUUUUUUUUUCUUUUUUCCUUCGUUUUCUAUUCGACAGGAAACACCAGCAGGAAACACAGAAGAAAGAAGAAUAGCAAAGGAAGGAGAAAAGCCAUCCAUCCCUUUUUUCGAUUCUCUGUUUGGUCAAGAGGAAACGAAAGAGACCCCUUAUUAUACCUGAUAAUUCGAAACCUAAGUCUUUUAUUCUUCGUAUUCUUUUCCCUUUUUCCAUUCCUUUUUCUUCUCACUAUGAAGCCGAUCUUGAAUGAUCGUCUAAGCCGACUUGUCGCACGCUGAUUGUCUUCCACUUUGAAGAUGAGCAGGUGCCCUGAAAGGCACGACGAUGAUCAACAAUGAACGGCCACCGGUAAGAUUUACUUUACGAGAAGAUCCAUACCAAAUUGUUGUUAUAUCGCACAGCUGGUGCCUAUAUGUUUAGCUCAAGAUACAUGCUUCUUUUCUUCUUUUAUUUUCUAUUUGUCAAAUGAGAUUAAUAUAUCAUCGGGACGAAUAGAAUUUUACCUAUACCUGAAUAUACCUCGGUAAAUAGAAAUUAUUCCGGAAUACAGCGAACGAUAAUUUUUUCGACUCGAAUUAAAUUAAAAUGGUAUCGUUGAUAAAAAUGAUAUUUUUAUUAAAUAUAUCGAUAGAUAUUCUAUAGUUAAGUAGUUACUUAUAGCAAGACAAUUUUUUUUUAGGGUUGUAUAGUUUUUUAAAUCCAUGCACGACGUUCACAUUGACAUUUCUAAUAUACAGAUGUUCAAACUCCCGAUAACUCUUCUUAACGACUAAUACUCGUUUCAAUGCCGUAGCUGCAAAUAAUUAAUAACAGUUCAACGACGAAUUCGAAAAGCAAGAAGCUGCGUGAGUAGUUGGAUAGAAUAGGACAAAAAGAGGAGAAGGGAAACGGGAGAAUGAGAGAAAGGGAUGGAGAGGAUUGAGAGAGAGAGAGAGAAAGAGAGAGAGAGAGAAAGAGAUAAAUAGAGGGCUCACCAGGGAUAGAACUAAUACCCAGCUAAUACUAACCAGUAAGCCCUUUAAAAGCAUCCGACGGAAACUCGAGGGUUUGAGCUUGGAUAUCAUACCUCCUGCGCAUCUACUUACAUGCGAAUUUGCACCUACAAUAGGGACUUGAUUCAAUCCUGACCACUACUGUCCAUUGGAGUCUGUGCUCGUUCUAACAGAUACUCAGAUACUUAGGUACGUGGGAUUGAUGGAUGAAAAUACGACGACGCGAAUCCAGAAUACAGCAGUAUCACCAUCGACUGCUAUUCCCAGUGAGGAAUACAGAACGGAAUACGGGAUACAUAGAGGAGGAAUACAAGACGAAUAGAAGACGGGCUCUCAAGCUUUUAGCCCAGGCAAAUAAAUCGUGGUUUGCGAAGGAGCCAACAUUCGCGAAUAAAUCCACCCUCUCUCUCUCUCUCCCUCUCUAUCUUUUUCUUGUAUACAUCUCCUACACGCGUACCUACCUCUAUUCCCCUCUUCUACUUUUCGCUUCUCUACAUAUAUCUCGUACGACACCUCACGGAUCUGACGUAUGCCAUCUGUGUCCACGUUAGAAAAAGACAGACAGACCGAAAGAAUUUUUCACUAUUACUUUCUUCCUUUCUUCUUUUCUUAUACAAAAUUUUUUCGUUACAACAACAACAACAAAGAUAAAUAAAUAAACAAGAAAGAAAAAACAGAGAAAAAA